UGACUUUUUUCUAAGUCAGACUUCUUUAGCUUUGACCAAAUCUAUAGAAAAAUAUAGCAAUAUUUUUAACACAAAAAAAACUAUCCAAAUAUAUUCAAUGUUAGAUGUAAUGAAACCAACUUGGUGCUAUAAGUGUUGCUAUAUUUUUUCUAUAAACUUGGUUAAACAUUCAAGAAGUUUGAUUUUUUUAAAGAAAGUCAA
This 201-nucleotide microRNA precursor is filed under the name Oryza rufipogon (brownbeard rice). RNAcentral describes it as "MIR1435 microRNA precursor family". It matches the Rfam family "MIR1435 microRNA precursor family". Lineage: Eukaryota; Viridiplantae; Streptophyta; Magnoliopsida; Poales; Poaceae. The record is from Rfam by way of RNAcentral.